Molecule: ribosomal RNA, 110 nt
Filed under: Bacteroidota bacterium
Lineage: Bacteria; Pseudomonadati; Bacteroidota
Source: RNAcentral
CUUGGUGAUUUUUGCACAGGGGGUCCACCUCUUCCCAUUCCGAACAGAGAAGUUAAGCCCUGUAGCGCCGAUGGUACUGCCAAUGGUGGGAGAGUAGGUCGUUGCCAAGA